UACGAAGGGGGCUAGCGUUGUUCGGAUUUACUGGGCGUAAAGCGCACGUAGGCGGUUUGUUAAGUCAGGGGUGAAAUCCUGGAGCUCAACUCCAGAACUGCCUUUGAUACUGGCAAGCUAGAGUCCGGAAGAGGUAAGUGGAACUCCUAGUGUAGAGGUGGAAUUCGUAGAUAUUAGGAAGAACACCAGUGGCGAAGGCGGCUUACUGGGCCGGAACUGACGCUGAGGUGCGAAAGCGUGGGGAGCAAACAGG
RNAcentral lists this ribosomal RNA (253 nucleotides) under uncultured bacterium. Its description in RNAcentral is "partial 16S ribosomal RNA". It matches the Rfam family "Bacterial small subunit ribosomal RNA", at positions 524 to 776 of the family's 1533-position model. The record is from RNAcentral.